Molecule: ribosomal RNA, 512 nt
Filed under: uncultured bacterium
Lineage: Bacteria
Description: partial 16S ribosomal RNA
Rfam family: Bacterial small subunit ribosomal RNA
Source: RNAcentral
GACGAACGCUGGCGGCGUGCCUAAUACAUGCAAGUCGAGCGAAUCACUGGGAGCUUGCUCCCGGUGGUUAGCGGCGGACGGGUGAGUAACACGUGGGCAACCUGCCUGUAAGACUGGGAUAACACCGGGAAACCGGUGCUAGUACCGGAUAAUUCUUUUCUGCACAUGCAGGAAAGCUGAAAGUCGGUUUCGGCUGACACUUACAGAUGGGCCCGCGGCGCAUUAGCUAGUUGGCGAGGUAACGGCUCACCAAGGCGACGAUGCGUAGCCGACCUGGGAGGGUGAUCGGCCACACUGGGACUGAGAAACGGCCCAGACUCCUACGGGAGGCAGCAGUAGGGAAUCUUCCACAAUGGACGAAAGUCUGAUGGAGCAACGCCGCGUGAGCGAUGAAGGCCUUCGGGUCGUAAAGCUCUGUUGUUAGGGAAGAACAAGUACCGGAGUAACUGCCGGUACCUUGACGGUACCUAACCAGAAAGCCACGGCUAACUACGUGCCAGCAGCCGCGGUAA